GUUAAGCAGAUAAUUAGGUAUUUCAUAUUGGUGUUUGAACUGAUGUUCCGAGAAAUAACCAAAACUUAAUGAAAUAGUCGUCUAUAAGAGCUGAUGGUGAAAGUCGAAGACAAAAAAGCAUGCAUGAGAGCUUACUCUUAAGGUUGACGCAUGACACAUGACGCAUCAAACAUGUCAUAUAUUAGUAGACUUAAGUUUUU
RNAcentral lists this long non-coding RNA (200 nucleotides) under Capsella rubella. RNAcentral describes it as "long non-coding RNA (CRUB_LNC002469)". Lineage: Eukaryota; Viridiplantae; Streptophyta; Magnoliopsida; Brassicales; Brassicaceae. The record is from RNAcentral.